GCCCGACUAGCUCACCGGUAGAGCGCCUCACUAGUAUAUCGUCUGAAUAUGCUUCCAUAUGAGGAUGAAGUAAUGAGGAGGCAACAGGUUCGACUCCUGUGUUGGGCA
Hypoxylon sp. CI-4A is the source of this 108-nucleotide non-coding RNA. The record is from the annotation of a GenBank genome assembly. NCBI's taxonomy places the organism in Eukaryota, Fungi, Ascomycota, Sordariomycetes, Xylariales, Hypoxylaceae.